UGUGGCAGGGCUGCGGGUGAGAAUGAGCAGGCUGGACGAGCAGGGUAUGGAGAAGGAAUAUUUGCGAUCCCAAAUAAAAGUAUGCCAAGAAUGUGUAGAAGAUGAAAUUCAUCCUGCUUCACUCUCAAAGGAUGGUGUAUGAGGAGUGAUCUAUGGAGUUACUGUGUGAAUGUGAUACUCUGCUCAGGAGAGGAGGGGGUUUCGCGAAAGGCGGAGAUGUCAUUGCGUUCACACCCAAAGAAGCGCUGGAGAGGCGUAAUGGUAUCAUUAGGAGAACAGCGCGAGAGAGAACGACUCUAUUAUUAAAAUCUCUUUUUGCCCAAA
Molecule: long non-coding RNA, 324 nt
Organism: Megalobrama amblycephala (Wuchang bream)
Lineage: Eukaryota; Metazoa; Chordata; Actinopteri; Cypriniformes; Xenocyprididae
Exons: 2
Source: RefSeq, a predicted model, not a curated record